AAGACUAUACUUCACAGGAUCAUUUCUGUAGUCAGUCUUCAUUGAACCUUACCCUUUUACGCUACAAACUUUAUCCAGAGCGGU
Molecule: small nucleolar RNA, 84 nt
Organism: Ceratitis capitata (Mediterranean fruit fly)
Lineage: Eukaryota; Metazoa; Arthropoda; Insecta; Diptera; Tephritidae
Product: small nucleolar RNA U3
Exons: 1
Source: RefSeq, a predicted model, not a curated record